UGGCUCUCCCAUCGAUGAAGAACGCAGCGAACUGCGAUACGUAAUGUGAAUUGCAGAAUUCAGUGAAUCAUCGAAUCUUUGAACGCACCUUGCGCCGCUCGGUUUUCCGAGGGGCACGUCUGUUUGAGUGUCACGUUAAUUCAUCACUUACCUUCGGGGAAGUGGAUUUGGACGUUGCUGUUGUUCAUUCGACGGCUCGUCUUAAAUGCAUUGUUGCCUGCAGAGCCUUGCGCGGAGCGAGGCCGACGAAACGGUGUGAUAUUUAUUAUCUGCGCUGAAGUAGUUGGUCUUUGCGCUGCUGCACUUUGAGCGCCCUGGGCUUAUAAUGAAACGGUUGAGCUUGCUCGACUUUAUUACUUUGCGUUUGACCUCAAAUCAGAUGGGACUACCCGCUGA
RNAcentral lists this unclassified non-coding RNA (396 nucleotides) under uncultured fungus. RNAcentral describes it as "partial contains 5.8S ribosomal RNA and internal transcribed spacer 2". The stretch from base 1 to 133 matches the Rfam family "5.8S ribosomal RNA", at positions 22 to 154 of the family's 154-position model. The record is from RNAcentral. Lineage: Eukaryota; Fungi.